Molecule: small RNA, 489 nt
Filed under: Pan troglodytes (chimpanzee)
Lineage: Eukaryota; Metazoa; Chordata; Mammalia; Primates; Hominidae
Description: retained intron
Source: RNAcentral
AGGUUCCUAGUGAGCCUCCUGGGCAGGGGUCUGGAGGGUCGGAGAAGGAGCCCCGCAGCUCCCACGCCCCCACCUGCCUCCAGUCUUGAAGUGGCUCUGCCGCCAGAAGCUGGCAGCUCUACCUGUCUCAGAUUUCUGGAGGGAUGGGUAGGAGCCAGGGCUCGUGCCCACGGCGCCUCCCUGCUCCCUGCAGCUGAGUCCCAACGGGGGCCAGGAGGACACGCGGAUGAAGAACGUGCCGGUGCCGGUGUACUGCCGCCCUCUGGUGGAGAAGGACCCCACCAUGAAGCUGUGGUGUGCCGCGGGCGUCAACCUGAGCGGGUGGAGGCCCAAUGAGGACGACGCUGGGAAUGGAGUCAAGCCAGCGCCAGGCCGCGAUCCCCUGACCUGCGACCGCGAAGGAGACGGCGAGCCCAAGAGCGCCCACACGUCUCCCGAGAAGAAGAAGGCCAAGGAGCUCCCUGAAAUGGACGCCACCUCCAGCCGGGU